UACAGAGGGGGCAAGCGUUGUUCGGAAUUACUGGGCGUAAAGGGCGCGUAGGCGGCCUUCUAAGUCGAACGUGAAAUCCCCGGGCUCAACCCGGGAACUGCGUCCGAUACUGGAAGGCUUGAAUCCGGGAGAGGGAUGCGGAAUUCCAGGUGUAGCGGUGAAAUGCGUAGAUAUCUGGAGGAACACCGGUGGCGAAGGCGGCAUCCUGGACCAAUUCUGACACUGAGGAGCGAAAGCGUGGGGAGCAAACAGG
Molecule: ribosomal RNA, 253 nt
Filed under: uncultured prokaryote
Description: partial 16S ribosomal RNA
Rfam family: Bacterial small subunit ribosomal RNA
Source: RNAcentral